This 3103-nucleotide long non-coding RNA is filed under the name Crocodylus porosus (Australian saltwater crocodile). Its description in RNAcentral is "lncRNA (ENSCPRG00005001414.1)". The record is from RNAcentral. Lineage: Eukaryota; Metazoa; Chordata; Crocodylia; Crocodylidae.
AUGGGGCUAUCCCCUCCCCCCAGCCAGGAGCCUACAGGUGAGAGUCCUCUGGCUCCUGCGGGGGGGCCGCCACCCAACAAGGUCCCUCGGGGCAGCCCACCCAGCGCCCGGGGGGAGGGGCGGCAGGGGCUGGACCAGCGCCGUGCCCCGGCCGAGCCACCCCCCCGGGGUGCCUGCCGGGCGCUGGGGCCGGCAAACAAACUCUCGGCGCCCCCCGCAGCCAAUCAGCGCGAGGGAGCCCCCGUGCCCGCCCCACGGGCCCAGGUGCCCGGCGCGGGGCCGGGCGGGCGGNNNNNNNNNNNNNNNNNNNNNNNNNNNNNNNNNNNNNNNNNNNNNNNNNNNNNNNNNNNNNNNNNNNNNNNNNNNNNNNNNNNNNNNNNNNNNNNNNNNNNNNNNNNCGCGGCGCUUGCGAGCCCCCCCUGUCCCGGGCGGAGCGCGGUGGCGACCGCGCCGGAGAUGCUGCAGACAGAGGACGCCCCGUGGCGGCGGAAAGCCUGUGCGAGGCGGCGGCUGCAGCUGGAGCCGGGGGGUGGCGCGGAGACACGGCCGCCUCGGAUCCACAACGUGCGUGUGUCGGUGUCGGGGUGUGUGUGUGUGCGUGCGCGCGCGUGUAAGGGCUGCUGCCGCUGCUGCUGCAAGGGACCGAGGGAAAAUUCUCCCUCCCGGGGAAAGGCGGAGGCGAGCGGCGAGAGCAGAUCAUCAAGAAACUCAUUCGUACAAUAAUUACCAUAUAUUGUAUUUAUGAUAUUUCUGAUACUGGAGGAAAACUAUACAUCUGAUAACAUGGAUCAUCUUUGCUAACCUGCAGGAAGAAAGCUGAGAGAAAGCAGAAUGGGAGCGGAUGGGUCAAAAAACUUUUUAGCAAUCUCAUAAUCCAUUCAAUUCAUUGCAAAAUCACAUUCAAAAUCAGAACUAUGUUGGUAAUCUCAUCAGAGAGGCCUGAGACUGAAUGACUAUUGAAGACUGAACUACCUUACAAGGACUUCUUCAGUAACAGGACUGGACCACAUUGGUGAAGCUGUAGAGCAAAAUUGAUUGUACUGUAUGAGCUCGAGAAAGAAUUUCUCUUUCCAUUAAGAAGUAGUCAUUUGGGCAUUUCAUAAUAAUAGAUGGAUAAAUUAUGUUCUCAGCUGUAUUGUGUAAAUAUGGAGAAACUCCACAGGUGUCAGUUAAAUUCCUCAGAGUCCAGGGCAAAAACUGGCCUGGAAUAUGCAAAUUUGACAUAUAAUGCCAUCAUUCAGUUAUUCUCUUUCUUGCUUCAUUUUGCACAUUUCAUUUCAUCUUCAUAAUUUUACUUUCCCAACAUAAAGUCUUCAAACAGCACCACUCUUACUGCUGGUUUUUCAGAUGACGCUUUGUCUGCAGUUGAGAUCAGCCAAGUUGCCCAAGCUUAACUGUCUCUAGAUUUAAACAUCUGGGCUGAAAUCCAGGCCCCAUUGAAGUCAAUGGGCGUUUUUUCAUUGACUUCAGCAGGGCUGGGAUUUCACCCUUGGCGAUUGGCAGCAGAAUGUUCUUAACAGACAGCUGUUGACUGGUACUGACCUUUCCACACUAGACUAACAGAGCCUAACUGCAGGCCCAUCUUUUUCUUCUUCUUUUUUUCCUGUGCGAGUCAGAGCUGGAUAAAGUACAUUUAGAUUAUUUGGGGUGAGUUAUUGUUGCCUUCAUCAAUAGAGCUGAAUUUCUUUUUAACCUUGUACAUGCCUCUCUGGAGGUUGUAAUUCAGUUCAUUUUGAAGUAGAUAAGUAAAUAUACAGGAGUUGACCAGCCCCUCCCAUAAAGAAACCUGCAGGAAGGAGAUUAUGGGGCUGGCUUACCAUGGCUUGACAGUAACCUUGCUGGUCGUUUGACCCCAGUACUCUUUCCUGCCAUGGCAGGCGGUCGGACUUGAUGAUCUGCUCAGGUCCCUUCCAACCCUACAAACUAUGAAACUAUAAGGCUGAGAUUACAAGAAAACAUCCCCUCAUUGGAAGGGUUUAAGUAGCAUGGAGUUGGUGCAGAAAGCGGUCCACAAAGAAAAGCUCGAAAAAGGGAACUACAUAAAGACAUAGGCUUACAUGUUGCUGCUCUGCGUCCUUUUUCUCCCUUUCUGCUACUAUCAUUUCAGAUGCUGUGGUAAUGGGCACAGUACAAAAAAAUCCCACAAACAAUCUAGACAGAAUAGAAUUGAAACAGCGUGGUUCUGACAAGAGUCACGUAGCCACUGGAUGACUUCCUCACACAGCAGCAGCUGUCGAAGGGACUCCAUAGGAAUUAAUGGUACCGGGGAGGAACUUUUAUAUUUAAUUCCUCAAUAAUGAGUUUGAAAAAUGCAAAAUGCACUCAUUUGUCCUGCUAUUUUUAGGUGGUGUCAGCUGCCCUUUUACAUAUACUUCGGACUUCUUCCUUGAUAAAUAACAACAAGGCUAAUUAAUAAUAACGCCAAAAUGUAUUCUCCCUUAUCCAAAAACAAAAAAAUCCACAGCAGAUAAUUGACACAAUAGUUGAACCAGUGCAAUGUUUCAAGCUUCCUCAAAUCAUCCAAGUUUAGAAAGCAUGUAACUUAAUUGGAUUGCUAUUGCACUGACAGCUCCCCAUGUACUGUAUGCUGAAGGACUGCAUCUUUGCUAUAUGACUGGGUACAAAACCUAAUGCUGUCAGUAAUGCAGAUCAUUAGGCACUGUGAUCAGCAUCACAACUCCUGUUUAACCACCAUUAGAAAGUGAAAACAACAAGCUUCUUUAUGAUGAAUUGCAUUUGUGAAAGAAAAAAAAAAACAUAAAACACUUUACUCCUAAAAUAUUUUGAAUGGAGGUGUGGGCCCCUUUGAAAGUAAAUGUGGCUAUUCAUAUACUUUUGGUUGAUCAUAUUCAUUUUUUCAUGGACCCCUUAGACAUAGCCUUCUAUGAUCCCAGAGUCUGCAGACCACAGGUUGAAAAACACUGGUUUACAGGAUUUUGGCCUAAUCCUGUAAGUCUUUUCCGCACGUAAUUCUCACACACAAUAGUUCUAGUGAAGCUCAGAUUAAUUCAUCACAACAGAAAAGAAAGGGUUUCUCUGUUAAGUAAGCGUUUUCUGGAUCAAGCCCUCUGUUUGCUAAUAAAAGGAGUUACAGACUUCCCCA